ACACCCGGCAUGUUUGGUGAGAUCCCAAAGCAGGCACAAAGGCACCCCUUCCCCAUCACUGGAAUACAUGCUGUGGGCUGAAUGCUCCCUGGAUCUCCGUCUAUCACCAGGCAUGAGGAGCAGAAGGGGGCUGGACCCAGAUUACUCAUGCAGAGGUUGCUGUGUUCUUGGUCAUCGCUGUAGUAGCUGAAAACUUGCUAGAUGGGCUAGACAAGCCACAACACAGAGCUGGGAGAUGUGCAUUGACUCCCUGAUAUGGACAGACUUGCAAGGACAGACCCAGUGCCUUCGAGGAAACUACCUGACACUGUAUCAGCAGGCGUUCUCUGUCCAUCCAGCUUUCCAUUCCCAUUUUCAUGCUAAAGCUGCAACACCAGCUACCUCUAAG
Aquila chrysaetos chrysaetos is the source of this 388-nucleotide long non-coding RNA. RefSeq lists it as uncharacterized. Lineage: Eukaryota; Metazoa; Chordata; Aves; Accipitriformes; Accipitridae. The record is from RefSeq and is a predicted model, not a curated record. The transcript has 3 exons.